AAGGGUGCGUAGGCGGUUAAAUAAGUCAGGUGUUAAAUUAAGGGGCUCAACCCCUUAUCGCACUUGAAACUAUUUAGCUUGAGUGGUGGAGAGGGAAGUGGAAUUCCUAGUGUAGCGGUGAAAUGCGUAGAUAUUAGGAGGAAUACCGGUGGCGAAGGCGACUUUCUGGACACUAACUGACGCUGANGCACGAAAGUGUGGGGAGCAAACAGGAUUAGAUACCCUGGUAGUCCACACCGUAAAC
RNAcentral lists this ribosomal RNA (244 nucleotides) under uncultured bacterium. RNAcentral's name for it is "partial 16S ribosomal RNA". It matches the Rfam family "Bacterial small subunit ribosomal RNA", at positions 563 to 807 of the family's 1533-position model. The record is from RNAcentral.